AGGACGAACGCUGGCGGCGUGCCUAAUACAUGCAAGUCGAACGAACGUGUGGAAAGCUUGCUUUCAGAGUUAGUGGCGAACGGGUGAGUAACACGUAAGUAACCUAGCUAUUAGACGAGGAUAACUACUGGAAACGGUAGCUAAGACUGGAUAUGAUAGAAAUAUUUAAAGGAUGCUAAGGCAUCGCUAAUAGAGGGGCUUGCGGCGCAUUAGCUAGUUGGUAGGGUAAAAGCCAACCAAGGCGAUGAUGCGUAGCCGACCUGAGAGGGUGACCGGCCACACUGGGACUGAGACACGGCCCAGACUCCUACGGGAGGCAGCAGUAGGGAAUCUUCGGCAAUGGACGGAAGUCUGACCGAGCAACGCCGCGUUGAGUGAAGAAAGUUUUCGGAUUGUAAAGCUCUGUUAUUAGGGAAGAAAGGCUCUAGGAGGAAAUGCUUAGGGAUUGACGGUACCUAAUGAGGAAGCCACGGCUAACUACGUGCCAGCAGCCGC
RNAcentral lists this ribosomal RNA (495 nucleotides) under uncultured bacterium. Its description in RNAcentral is "bacterial SSU rRNA". It matches the Rfam family "Bacterial small subunit ribosomal RNA", at positions 26 to 518 of the family's 1533-position model. The record is from RNAcentral.